Molecule: ribosomal RNA, 522 nt
Filed under: Alternaria alternata
Lineage: Eukaryota; Fungi; Ascomycota; Dothideomycetes; Pleosporales; Pleosporaceae
Description: eukaryotic LSU rRNA
Rfam family: 5.8S ribosomal RNA (bases 150-303)
Source: RNAcentral
ACUGGAUCCUUUGGGGUUACAGCCUUGCUGAAUUAUUCACCCGUGUCUUUUGCGUACUUCUUGUUUCCUUGGUGGGUUCGCCCACCAUAGGACAAACCAUUAAACCUUUUGUAAUUGCAAUCAGCGUCAGUAAAAAAAUUAAUAAUUACAACUUUUAACAACGGAUCUCUUGGUUCUGGCAUCGAUGAAGAACGCAGCGAAAUGCGAUAAGUAGUGUGAAUUGCAGAAUUCAGUGAAUCAUCGAAUCUUUGAACGCACAUUGCGCCCUUUGGUAUUCCAAAGGGCAUGCCUGUUCGAGCGUCAUUUGUACCCUCAAGCUUUGCUUGGUGUUGGGCGUCUUGUCUCCAGUUCGCUGGAGACUCGCCUUAAAGUAAUUGGCAGCCGGCCUACUGGUUUCGGAGCGCAGCACAAGUCGCGCUCUCUUCCAGCGAAGGUCAGCAUCCACAAAGCCUUUUUUCAACUUUUGACCUCGGAUCAGGUAGGGAUACCCGCUGAACUUAAGCAUAUCAAUAAGCGGAGGGA